This 427-nucleotide ribosomal RNA is filed under the name uncultured bacterium. RNAcentral describes it as "bacterial SSU rRNA". It matches the Rfam family "Bacterial small subunit ribosomal RNA", at positions 355 to 775 of the family's 1533-position model. The record is from RNAcentral.
UCGAGAAUUUUUCACAAUGGGCGCAAGCCUGAUGGAGCGACGCCGCGUGGGGGAUGAAUGGCUUCGGCCCGUAAACCCCUGUCAUUUGCGACCAACCGUUAUUAUUUAAAAGAUGAUAACCUGAUAGUAGCGAAAGAGGAAGGGACGGCUAACUCUGUGCCAGCAGCCGCGGUAAUACAGAGGUCCCAAGCGUUGUUCGGAUUUACUGGGCGUAAAGGGUGCGUAGGUGGCGGUGUAAGUCGGAUGUGAAAUCUCCGAGCUCAACUCGGAAACUGCAUUGGAAACUACAUUGCUCGAGGGUUGGAGGGGGGGCUGGAAUACUUGGUGUAGCAGUGAAAUGCGUAGAUAUCAAGUGGAACACCAGUGGCGAAGGCGAGUCCCUGGACAACUCCUGACACUGAGGCACGAAAGCUAGGGGAGCAAACAG